GUGGGGAAUCUUGCGCAAUGGGCGAAAGCCUGACGCAGCCAUGCCGCGUGAAUGAUGAAGGUCUUAGGAUUGUAAAAUUCUUUCACCGGGGACGAUAAUGACGGUGCCCGGAGAAGAAGCCCCGGCUAACUUCGUGCCAGCAGCCGCGGUAAUACGAAGGGGGCUAGCGUUGCUCGGAAUUACUGGGCGUAAAGGGCGCGUAGGCGGACAGUUUAGUCAGAGGUGAAAGCCCAGGGCUCAACCUUGGAAUUGCCUUUGAUACUGGCUGUCUUGAGUACGGGAGAGGUGAGUGGAACUCCGAGUGUAGAGGUGAAAUUCGUAGAUAUUCGGAAGAACACCAGUGGCGAAGGCGACUCACUGGCCCGUUACUGACGCUGAGGCGCGAAAGCGUGGGGAGCAAACAGGAUUAGAUACCCUGGUAGUCC
RNAcentral lists this ribosomal RNA (425 nucleotides) under uncultured bacterium. RNAcentral's name for it is "partial 16S ribosomal RNA". It matches the Rfam family "Bacterial small subunit ribosomal RNA", at positions 354 to 796 of the family's 1533-position model. The record is from RNAcentral.